GAUGAACGCUGGCGGCGUGCUUAACACAUGCAAGUCGAACGGACAGACGAGGAUCUUGCUGCUCUCACGUUGCCAACGGGCGGGUGAGUCACACGUGGAUAACCUACCUCUUAGGCUGGGACAACUUCGGCAAGCUGGAGCUCCUACCGGAUAAUAUAUUGAACGGGAUGGUUCGAUAGUGCUUGCGGUUUUUGCUGUGCCUUCUACAUGUCUCCGCGCUGCAUGGGCUAGUUGGUACGGUAACGGCUUACCAAGGCGACGAUGCGUAGCCGACCUGAGAGGGUGAUCGGCCACACUGGGACUGAGACACGGUCCAGACUCCUACGGGAGGCAGCAGUAGGGAAUCGUGGGCAAUGGGCGAAAGCUUGACGGAGCAACGCCGCGUGAGUGAAGAAGGUCUUCGGAUCGUAAAACGCUGUUAUUAGGGAAGAACAAAUGUGUAAGGAACGAUGCUCGUCUUGACGGUACCUAAACAAAAAGCACCGGCUAACUACGUG
Molecule: ribosomal RNA, 497 nt
Filed under: uncultured bacterium
Lineage: Bacteria
Description: partial 16S ribosomal RNA
Rfam family: Bacterial small subunit ribosomal RNA
Source: RNAcentral